This 765-nucleotide ribosomal RNA is filed under the name uncultured Flavobacterium sp. RNAcentral describes it as "bacterial SSU rRNA". It matches the Rfam family "Bacterial small subunit ribosomal RNA", at positions 559 to 1331 of the family's 1533-position model. Lineage: Bacteria; Pseudomonadati; Bacteroidota; Flavobacteriia; Flavobacteriales; Flavobacteriaceae. The record is from RNAcentral.
UUUAAAGGGUCCGUAGGCGGUUUAGUAAGUCAGUGGUGAAAGCCCAUCGCUCAACGGUGGAACGGCCAUUGAUACUGCUAAACUUGAAUUAUUAGGAAGUAACUAGAAUAUGUAGUGUAGCGGUGAAAUGCUUAGAGAUUACAUGGAAUACCAAUUGCGAAGGCAGGUUACUACUAAUGGAUUGACGCUGAUGGACGAAAGCGUGGGUAGCGAACAGGAUUAGAUACCCUGGUAGUCCACGCCGUAAACGAUGGAUACUAGCUGUUGGAAGCAAUUUCAGUGGCUAAGCGAAAGUGAUAAGUAUCCCACCUGGGGAGUACGUUCGCAAGAAUGAAACUCAAAGGAGUUGACGGGGGCCCGCACAAGCGGUGGAGCAUGUGGUUUAAUUCGAAUGAUACGCGAGGAACCUUACCAAGGCUUAAAUGUAGAUUGACCGGUUUGGAAACAGACUUUUCGCAAGACAAUUUACAAGGUGCUGCAUGGUUGUCGUCAGCUCGUGCUGUGAGGUGUCAGGUUAAGUCCUAUAACGAGCGCAACCCCUGUUGUUAGUUGCCAGCGAGUCAUGUCGGGAACUCUAACGAGACUGCCAGUGCAAACUGAGAGGAAGGUGGGGAUGACGUCAAAUCAUCACGGCCCUUACGCCUUGGGCUACACACGUGCUACAAUGGCCGGUACAGAGAGCAGCCACUGGGUGACCAGGAGCGAAUCUAUAAAACCGGUCACAGUUCGGAUCGGAGUCUGCAACUCGACUCCGUGAAGCUGGAA